UACGUAGGUGGCAAGCGUUAUCCGGAUUUAUUGGGCGUAAAGAGAACGCAGGCGGUCUUUUAAGUCUGAUGUGAAAGCCUUCGGCUUAACCGGAGUAGUGCAUUGGAAACUGGGAGACUUGAGUGCAGAAGAGGAGAGUGGAACUCCAUGUGUAGCGGUGAAAUGCGUAGAUAUAUGGAAGAACACCAGUGGCGAAAGCGGCUCCCUGGUCUGUAACUGACGCUGAGGUUCGAAAGCGUGGGUAGCAAACAGG
Molecule: ribosomal RNA, 253 nt
Filed under: uncultured bacterium
Lineage: Bacteria
Description: partial 16S ribosomal RNA
Rfam family: Bacterial small subunit ribosomal RNA
Source: RNAcentral